CCUACGGGCGGCAGCAGUGAGGAAUAUUGGUCAAUGGACGAGAGUCUGAACCAGCCAAGUAGCGUGAGGGAUGACUGCCCUAUGGGUUGUAAACUUCUUUUAUAUGGGAAUAAAAUGUUCCACGUGUGGGAUUUUGUAUGUACCUUAUGAAUAAGCAUCGGCUAACUCCGUGCCAGCAGCCGCGGUAAUACGGAGGAUCCGAGCGUUAUCCGGAUUUAUUGGGUUUAAAGGGAGCGUAGAUGGGUUGUUAAGUCAGUUGUGAAAGUUUGCGGCUCAACCGUAAAAUUGCAAUUGAUACUGGCAGUCUUGAGUACAGUUGAGGUAGGCGGAAUUCGUGGAGUAGCGGUGAAAUGCUUAGAUAUAACGAAGAACUCCGAUAGCGAAGGCAGCUUACUAAACUGCCACUGACAUUGAUGCUCGAAAGUGUGGGUAGCAAACAGGAUUAGAUACCCCUGUAGUC
This 460-nucleotide ribosomal RNA is filed under the name uncultured bacterium. Its description in RNAcentral is "partial 16S ribosomal RNA". It matches the Rfam family "Bacterial small subunit ribosomal RNA", at positions 338 to 795 of the family's 1533-position model. The record is from RNAcentral.